This is a Y RNA of Papio anubis (olive baboon), 101 nucleotides long. It matches the Rfam family "Y RNA". From Rfam's summary of the family: Y RNAs are components of the Ro ribonucleoprotein particle (Ro RNP), in association with Ro60 and La proteins. The Y RNAs and Ro60 and La proteins are well conserved, but the function of the Ro RNP is not known. Lineage: Eukaryota; Metazoa; Chordata; Mammalia; Primates; Cercopithecidae. The record is from Ensembl.
UGCUGGUCCGAGUGCAGUGGUGUUUAUGACUAAUUGAUCACAACCGGUUACAGAUUUCUUUGUUCUUUCUCUACUCGCAUUGCUUCACUUGACUAACUUUA